AACGACUCUCGGCAACGG
RNAcentral lists this non-coding RNA (18 nucleotides) under Arabidopsis thaliana (thale cress). Lineage: Eukaryota; Viridiplantae; Streptophyta; Magnoliopsida; Brassicales; Brassicaceae. The record is from RNAcentral. RNAcentral also lists the same sequence under 2 other names.